CGGCCCAGAUUCCUACGGGAGGCAGCAGUGGGGAAUUUUGGACAAUGGGGGCAACCCUGAUCCAGCCAUGCCGCGUGUGCGAAGAAGGCCUUCGGGUUGUAAAGCACUUUUGGCAGGAAAGAAACGGCGCCGGCUAAUAUCUGGCGUAACUGACGGUACCUGCAGAAUAAGCACCGGCUAACUACGUGCCAGCAGCCGCGGUAAUACGUAGGGUGCAAGCGUUAAUCGGAAUUACUGGGCGUAAAGCGUGCGCAGGCGGUUCGGAAAGAAAGAUGUGAAAUCCCAGGGCUCAACCUUGGAACUGCAUUUUUAACUCCCGAACUAGAGUGUGUCAGAGGGGGGUGGAAUUCCACGUGUAGCAGUGAAAUGCGUAGAUAUGUGGAGGAACACCGAUGGCGAAGGCAGCCCCCUGGGAUAACACUGACGCUCAUGCACGAAAGCGUGGGGAGCAAACAGGAUUAGAUACCCUGGUAGUCCACGCCCUAAACGAUGUCAACUAGCUGUUGGGUUCUUCGGAGCUUGGUAGCGCAGCUAACGCGUGAAGUUGACCGCCUGGGGAGUACGGUCGCAAGAUUAAAACUCAAAGGAAUUGACGGGGACCCGCACAAGCGGUGGAUGAUGUGGAUUAAUUCGAUGCAACGCGAAAAACCUUACCUACCCUUGACAUGUCUGGAAUCCCGAAGAGAUUUGGGAGUGCUCGAAAGAGAACCGGAACACAGGUGCUGCAUGGCCGUCGUCAGCUCGUGUCGUGAGAUGUUGGGUUAAGUCCCGCAACGAGCGCAACCCUUGUCAUUAGUUGCUACGAAAGGGCACUCUAAUGAGACUGCCGGUGACAAACCGGAGGAAGGUGGGGAUGACGUCAGGUCCUCAUGGCCCUUAUGGGUAGGGCUUCACACGUCAUACAAUGGUCGGGACAGAGGGCAGCCAACCCGCGAGGGGGAGCCAAUCCCAGAAACCCGAUCGUAGUCCGGAUUGCAGUCUGCAACUCGACUGCAUGAAGUCGGAAUCGCUAGUAAUCGCGGAUCAGCAUGUCGCGGUGAAUACGUUCCCGGGUCUUGUACACACCGCCCGUCACACCAUGGGAGUGGGUUCUACCAGAAGUAGGUAGCCUAACCGUAAGGAGGGCGCUUAC
RNAcentral lists this ribosomal RNA (1132 nucleotides) under Pigmentiphaga daeguensis. RNAcentral describes it as "bacterial SSU rRNA". It matches the Rfam family "Bacterial small subunit ribosomal RNA", at positions 327 to 1457 of the family's 1533-position model. Lineage: Bacteria; Pseudomonadati; Pseudomonadota; Betaproteobacteria; Burkholderiales; Alcaligenaceae. The record is from RNAcentral.